This 237-nucleotide long non-coding RNA is filed under the name Bos taurus (domestic cattle). RNAcentral's name for it is "long non-coding RNA NONBTAT005813". The record is from RNAcentral. Lineage: Eukaryota; Metazoa; Chordata; Mammalia; Artiodactyla; Bovidae.
AAAACACACAAAUACAGAAAUUAGGAGCCUGCUGUUGAAGGUAAUGAAUACUUCAAAUGCAGCUGCAAGUCUGUUGGAUAGCAGUUCAGAGACAGUAAGAGAGUCAGAAGUGAAGAGAGGAGCCAUCACAAAUUAGACGUCAGAUAAUGAAAAUGAAACUUCUCUAGAAUUAAGAUGUAAGUUGUUUUGAAAGCACAGUUUGGUGUAUGAAAGAUAGCUACAGACCCAUAUAUACAU